UAACUUAGGGAGAAGGGGUGCCUACGAGAGUAGGCCGCAGUGAAUAGGCUCAAGCAACUGUUUAUCAAAAACACAGGUCUCUGCUAAAGCGUAAGCUGAUGUAUAGGGGCUGACGCCUGCCCGGUGCUGGAAGGUUAAGGGGAAUAGUUAGCGCAAGCGAAGCUAUGAACUUAAGCCCCAGUAAACGGCGGCCGUAACUAUAACGGUCCUAAGGUAGCGAAAUUCCUUGUCGGGUAAGUUCCGACCCGCACGAAUGGCGUAAUGAUUUGAGCACUGUCUCGGCAAUAAAUCCGGUGAAAUUGUAGUGCAAGUGAAGAUGCUUGCUACCCGCGGUUGGACGGAAAGACCCCGUAGAGCUUUACUGUAGCUUAGCAUUGAAUUUCGGUAUUGUCUGUACAGGAUAGGUGGGAGACUUAGAAGCGAGGGCGUCAGCUUUCGUGGAGUCGUCCUUGGGAUACCACCCUGACAGUACUGGAAUUCUAACUGGAGGCCAUGAAUCUGGUCACAGGACAUUGCUAGGUGGGCAGUUUGACUGGGGCGGUCGCCUCCUAAAAGGUAACGGAGGCGCCCAAAGGUUCCCUCAGCGCGGUCGGAAAUCGCGCGUAGAGUGCAAAGGCAGAAGGGAGCCUGACUGCGACACAUACAGGUGGAGCAGGGACGAAAGUCGGGCUUAGUGAUCCGGUGGUGCUGUAUGGAAGGGCCAUCGCUCAACGGAUAAAAGCUACCUCGGGGAUAACAGGCUGAUCUCCCCCAAGAGUCCACAUCGACGGGGAGGUUUGGCACCUCGAUGUCGGCUCGUCGCAUCCUGGGGCUGUAGUCGGUCCCAAGGGUUGGGCUGUUCGCCCAUUAAAGCGGCACGCGAGCUGGGUUCAGAACG
RNAcentral lists this ribosomal RNA (877 nucleotides) under Clostridium botulinum C/D. RNAcentral's name for it is "partial 23S ribosomal RNA". It matches the Rfam family "Bacterial large subunit ribosomal RNA", at positions 1731 to 2618 of the family's 2925-position model. The record is from RNAcentral. Lineage: Bacteria; Bacillati; Bacillota; Clostridia; Eubacteriales; Clostridiaceae.